UCAGAGUGAAAUGCAUACACCAGAGAAAGAAACAAGCCUUAAAAACUUAUUUUGAUAAAACUUGCCUAGAAAAGUGACGUUUGAAAAAUACGUUGGUUCGCUAAGGAUGAAAUAUAAUUCGUGAAGCCCUAUGGGAUUAUGGGUGUAUUAGGUGGCUAAUUAACUAUUGGUUAUAUUAUAUUAACUUCCAGCACAUUACUUUCAGUCAAAACUUACUUUCUUGCACAACGGUUGGCGCAGGGGUACGGUGAUUGCUGUAACGUACCCAUGGCACCAUAUGCAAAUAUGGUGGCGGUACAUAAAAAUAUGGUUGGCGUAGGGGUACAGCAUUCUAACAUACCCACGGCAUCAUAUGAAAAUAUGAUGGCGGCACAUAAAAUGUGAAUAUGCCGAGACAACAUAUGAAUGGGGACGCUUUCGUGAGUGCUGGCACAAAAGGUUC
RNAcentral lists this long non-coding RNA (442 nucleotides) under Setaria viridis. RNAcentral describes it as "long non-coding RNA (SVIR_LNC010686)". Lineage: Eukaryota; Viridiplantae; Streptophyta; Magnoliopsida; Poales; Poaceae. The record is from RNAcentral.